RNAcentral lists this transfer RNA (62 nucleotides) under Elysia cornigera. RNAcentral's name for it is "tRNA-Thr". The record is from RNAcentral. Lineage: Eukaryota; Metazoa; Mollusca; Gastropoda; Plakobranchidae.
UUCGGAAUAGCUUAAUUAAAGCAUUGAUUUUGUAAUUCAGAGAUGGGCACUCCCUUCCGAAU